Molecule: ribosomal RNA, 503 nt
Filed under: Psora decipiens
Lineage: Eukaryota; Fungi; Ascomycota; Lecanoromycetes; Lecanorales; Psoraceae
Description: LSU rRNA
Rfam family: Eukaryotic large subunit ribosomal RNA
Source: RNAcentral
GAAGCGGCAACAGCUCAAAUUUGAAAUCUGACCCUUUGGGGUCCGAGUUGUAAUUUGCAGAGGGUGUUUCGGGCACGGUGCCGGUUUAAGUCCUUUGGAACAGGGUGUCAUAGAGGGUGAGAACCCCGUAUGUGACCGGUCGCCAAACCUAUGUGAAACCCCUUCGACGAGUCGAGUUGUUUGGGAAUGCAGCUCAAAAUGGGUGGUAAAUUUCAUCUAAAGCUAAAUAUUGGCCAGAGACCGAUAGCGCACAAGUAGAGUGAUCGAAAGAUGAAAAGCACUUUGGAAAGAGAGUCAAACAGCACGUGAAAUUGUUGAAAGGGAAGCGCUUGCGACCAGACUUGCUCGCGGGUGAUCAGCGGUGCUUUUCGCGCCGUGCACUCAUCCGCGAUCAGGCCAGCAUCGGUUCAGGCGGCCGGACAAAGACUCGGAGAAUGUAGCUCCCUCCGGGGAGUGUUAUAUCUCCUUGUGCAAUACGACCAGCCGGGACCGAGGACCGCGCU